RNAcentral lists this ribosomal RNA (476 nucleotides) under uncultured bacterium. RNAcentral describes it as "bacterial SSU rRNA". It matches the Rfam family "Bacterial small subunit ribosomal RNA", at positions 326 to 793 of the family's 1533-position model. The record is from RNAcentral.
ACGCUAUCACUCCUACGGGAGGCAGCAGUAGGGAAUAUUGGGCAAUGGGACGAGAGUCUGACCCAGCCAUGCCGCGUGCAGGAAGACGGCCCUAUUGGGUUGUAAAACUGCUUUUAUCUGGGGAAAGAAAAAGGGCCCCAUGCGUGGGACAUUGCCGGUACCAGAUGAAUAAGCACCGGCUAACUCCGUGCCAGCAGCCGCGGUAAUACGGAGGGUGCAAGCGUUGUCCGGAUUUAUUGGGUUUAAAGGGUGCGUAGGCGGCCAAUUAAGUCAGUGGUGAAAGACUUCGGCUCAACCGGAGCAGUGCCAUUGAUACUGGUUGGCUUGAGUGCUGCAGGGGUACAUGGAAUUGAUGGUGUAGCGGUGAAAUGCAUAGAUACCAUCAGGAAUACCAGUGGCGAAGGCGGCCCCCUGGACAAAGACUGACGCUCAGAUGCGAAAGCGUGGGGAGCAAACAGGAUUAGAUACCCUGGUAG